AACUUUUCCCGAAAUCUCAUCCAAAAAAACCUCAUCAACAACAGUCUCAGAACUCUCAGGGGAAUCUCCAUUUCUAUAUAUUUCAUCUUCUUUAGUGCGAGAAGUCCCGGGUUGAUCAAUGAAGCUGCCAAAACAAUUCCCGGAUAUGAACUCAUGGUUAUUAGAACUCCCAAAUGGAAUUGCUUCUAAAUCAAAUAAUUUUUCUUUUUCUUUAUUGCAUCUAAUAAAUUCUUCAAACGUCGGGAACUUAAAUUUCAAAAAGAAUUCAGGUUUCUUUUCCUCAACAUAAUUCUCAACACCUCUAAAUUCAGAAACUUUUUUCUCUGCUUCAUGAGAUAUUGUUACCCUCUGAUUCCUUUCUUCAGAAAAUAAAACUGAAAGCAAAAACUAAAAAUUGAAAAUAAAACAUCCAACUGAAAAUUGAAAAUAAAACUGAAAGCGAAAAGCCGAAAACUGAAAAUAAAGACACCGUGAAAGAACUCACCUAAAAUUCGAAAUCUGGAAGGCAGCAAACGAAAUCGGACGGUAUGAGAACUCCGGGUCAGCGAUUGUAUGGAUUUUCUGGGACGGUAUGAAAUGUUGAGACUAGAGCUGAAGGGAACGGCCGGCACAGAGAGUUAG
Molecule: long non-coding RNA, 621 nt
Filed under: Olea europaea (common olive)
Lineage: Eukaryota; Viridiplantae; Streptophyta; Magnoliopsida; Lamiales; Oleaceae
Description: long non-coding RNA (OEUR_LNC005244)
Source: RNAcentral